GGGACGGGCUGUCAAUCAGCGGGCCCAGCGCCUGCGCUUAACCCUUGCGGUCCCGAGGCGGGGAAGGGCAGCAUGCAGAGUUGUAAGCAAUUUGGGGUUCCGGCAGAGAUGAGGAUAUUUAGUUAAGGCAAGGGGUUUGGGGUCACAAGGUGCAGCUUGAGGAGAGACUGGGAGGUGUGUAUUCUUGUUUUGUGAGAAGCCUCGUCAAUUUUUCGUCCUGCCCUGGAGCGGCUCCUGGCUGAGGGUGGGGCGGGGAAUGGAAGCACUCUCACUCCGAUCCUUAGAUAUGGACUAAGCACCUUCUCCUCAGUAUUAAAUAACGUGCAGUGCAAACGAAGCUUCGGUCCCCUUUCUUGGGGAAAAUUCAAAGACUCCCUUUUAUCCAGCCUCCUAGGAGGCAAGCCUGGGGCUGUGCAUUUUAUCAGCGAAUUUUCCCAGCAACCCUCCAAGCCCGGGGAUUGAGGCUCUGAGAAAUCUGAGAACCAAAGGCAGGAACUGCGAAGGCCUUGGAACUGAACCUCCCAGAGGGCCCUGUGGGCCAGAGACAAUGGCCAAGUGACCGGAGCAGGUAAAAGAGCCUUCGAGUCCAGGCAACAGACGAAGGACCAAGAUGCAGCAGAACAGUGACUGAACAGCAGAACAGCCGAGUCACUGGCUGGGCUAGGGUCUGCUCACAGCCCCAUGUGCCCAGCUGGCCCCACUCUCAGCCUCCACAAGAAUCCCCUUGAUCUUAGCCUGACCCCAGGAAAAGUGAAUUGAUCAAAUUACUAAGAAUUGACUGAGGUUUGCUUUGUGCCACCUGGUGGAAGGAGGUUUGUAUUUGUUUCCUGGCGCUGCUGUCACCAAUAACCACAAACCGGGUGGCUUAAAACAACAGAAAUGUAUUCUCUUGCAUUCUUGAGGCCGGAAGUCCAAAAUCAAGGCUUUGGCAGCCUGGGGCCCUGCUCCUUCUGCAAGCUGCAGGGGAGGGUCCUUCCUGCCUCCUCCAGCCUCUGGCUUUACCAGCCUCCUGUGUCCUUGGUUUGUAGAAGCAUCUCCCCUAGAGCUUUGCUUCUGUCUUCACACAGCAUCUGUGUGCAAAUUUCACUCUUCUUCUUCUUAAGUAUUUAUUUCACUGCAUCGGAUCUUAGUUGCAUCACAUAGAUCUUCAAUCUUAAUUGUAGCAUGUGGGAUCUAGUUCCCUGACCAGUAAUAGAACCUGGGCCCCCUGCACUGGUAACGUGGAGUCUUAGCCACGUUUAGC
Bos taurus (domestic cattle) is the source of this 1243-nucleotide long non-coding RNA. The record is from Ensembl. Lineage: Eukaryota; Metazoa; Chordata; Mammalia; Artiodactyla; Bovidae.